Non-coding RNA from Kluyveromyces marxianus DMKU3-1042, 94 nucleotides. NCBI's taxonomy places the organism in Eukaryota, Fungi, Ascomycota, Saccharomycetes, Saccharomycetales, Saccharomycetaceae. The record is from the annotation of a RefSeq genome assembly.
GGCAGGUAGGUAGGUAGGUAGGUACUCACUCCUGUUGGGGGUUAAGGCGGUGCCGUUCGCGAUGACGCGGCGGUUCGAGGCCCCUGCGCGCCCC